AUGUCCGUGGUUGAAUUCGAUUUUUAACUGUUACUUUUUAUAAUUUUAUCGACGAAUUCCUGGAAACUGUUUUUUUUUUUCAUGUUAUUUAUAAAAGAAAAAAUUUUCUCUGCUGGGUCUUUGAUUAUGGUGUUGUGAUUUUUACGCUUGCUAUUAACUUAAAUUGAACGUUUUUAACUGCUUGAGAAGGGUGUGAUUUUGGACUUUGACAGAAAACAGAAAUUAUUUCUCCAAUACUUUUUUUUUUUUUGUAAUAAUAUCUUUUUAUAAGUUGGUUAGAAUGGGAGAAUUGGGUUCAAAUUCGAUCUGAAUUCCAGUGGUUGAAACCAUUGUUUUAAGGUCAAUCUCUUCUUUAAAUCUAUUUGAAGCAACUUUAUUGUUUUUUUAAUUUGCGUGUCGGAGUUUGUAUAAAUCCACCUGCGCAGCCUCUGGUUGAAGAAGUAAAGCAAUAAUGAGUCAGCCUAAAAUUAAACGCCAGGUUGGUAAAUAUGAGGUGGGAAGAACAAUUGGUGAGGGUACAUUUGCAAAAGUAAAGUUUGCAAGGAAUUCCAAGACUGGGGAACCUGUGGCUCUUAAGAUUCUAGAUAAAGAGAAAGUUCUCAAGCACAAGAUGGCUGAACAGAUCAGGCGGGAGAUUGCCACAAUGAAGUUGAUAAAGCAUCCCAACGUUGUUCAAUUAUAUGAGGUGAUGGGAAGCAAGACAAAGAUAUAUAUUGUCUUGGAGUUUAUUACUGGAGGAGAGCUGUUUGACAAGAUUGCAAAUCAUGGACGGAUGAGAGAGGAUGAGGCACGAAGAUACUUCCAGCAGCUUGUUAAUGCUGUUGAUUAUUGCCAUAGCAGGGGUGUCUUCCACAGGGAUCUUAAGCCUGAAAACUUGCUGUUGGAUGCUUACGGAAACCUUAAAGUUUCUGAUUUUGGAUUGAGUGCUUUGUCCAAACAAGUCAGGGAGGAUGGCCUCCUUCACACGACUUGUGGAACUCCAAACUAUGUUGCUCCCGAGGUUCUUAAUGACAGAGGCUAUGAUGGGGCAACUGCAGACUUGUGGUCUUGUGGAGUGAUACUCUUUGUACUAAUUGCAGGGUACUUGCCUUUUGAUGAUUCUAAUCUUAUCAACCUAUAUAAAAAAAUUUCUGCGGCUGAAUUCACUUGCCCUCCCUGGCUUUCUUUCCCUGCCAUGAAAUUGAUAACUUGUAUCUUGGAUCCCAACCCUAUGACUCGCAUAACUAUUCCCGAAAUUCUUGAAGAUGAAUGGUUUAAGAAAGACUAUAAGGCCCCAGUUUUUGAGGAGAAGGAAGAAACAAACUUGGAUGAUGUAGAAGCUGUUUUUCAGGAUUCAGAAGAGCACCAUGUGACAGAGAAGAAAGAAGAACAGCCUGCAGCCAUGAAUGCAUUUGAGUUGAUAUCUUUAUCAAAAGGGCUAAACCUUGAGAAUUUGUUUGAUGUAGAACAGGGAUUUAAGAGAGAGACAAGGUUCACAUCUAAAUGUCCUGCUAACGAGAUAAUCGAUAAACUAGAAACAGCAGCUAAGCCUCUUGGUUUUGAUGUUCAUAAGAAAAAUUACAAGAUGAGGCUUGAAAACAUGAAAGCUGGGAGAAAGGGAAACCUUAAAGUGGCCACUGAGAUAUUUCAAGUAGCUCCUUCACUUCAUAUGGUUGAGGUACGAAAAACCAAGGGGGAUACUUUGGAGUUUCAUAAGAUUCCAAUCGCAAAGGCUCCCAUCAGUAACUUGUUGGAGACAUCCCAGAGUGGUGCCGAAAGUCAUUCGAACAUACACCUAUACUCAGCCACCAUAUCUAGUUGUUGAAGUGAACACAGUUUUUUGUGUGGUGAUCCAUCCUGAGAGCAUCAAAAUCACUCUAACAAGCCCCUCUUCAAAUCAUCCUAGAUGUUGAAUGAAAUCUUUGUCUCCCUCCAAUGUAAUCAGCUCAAGGCCAUGCCUUCCAUACAUACCACUACUGAUGUUAGCUUGGCAUCAGCAAUGCGGCUUGCCAUGAAAUAUCUCUGUCUGAAAAUCCACCUUGAGGGAUCUUCUCCAAUGAACAUCGGUAACUCCAUCAUUGGUAGGGUGUCUUGUCGACCAUUUUGCUGGUUUUCACUUCUAGUCUCCUAGUAACUUCUCCAGUUGCAGUCUCUCCAUAACUCAUUUGUUCAUUUUGUCUCAUUGGUAAAGGUGGUGUCAUUUCUCUCACUAGAGACAAUUGUACCGACGAUGGGGUUUGUUCAUCCACACUUUUCCUCAAUCACCAUUAGGUAACUCUAUUCAUGAUCCUUUUUGUCAACUCCAUAAGACGAUCUUUCACCAUUUUCACACUACCCUCCACAUUGUCCAUUCUCGAGUUCAUGUUUUCCAAUUCCAUGUGUAGUCCAUCCAAUCUCCUCUUCACAAAUUCAAGAUCCUUCUCUAUCUCAUCUACUCUUGCCUCCAUUUUCGUCAUGCACCGAUACCAAUUGUCACGUUUUGCCAAUUUUUGUCCACACUUGAGGGUUGUUCUCAGCUCAUAGCAUACCUUCCAGUCCGUGGGCAGACUCCAUUUUGCAGUGCCCCAACUCAAAAAAUGUGCAAGGCAACAGCCCAGAAUUUCCAGCUGAGUUCCUAGAGCAGCAAAUUUUUAUAUAGAAGUUUCCAUGGCUAAAGUUGCUUGUGUUCUACAAAAACCUAUCGACGAGCCUGGAUGAUGUGGUGUGGAAAACCGAGGAGGAUAUGCAAGAGAUGCGCUGAUGGGGCUUUAACAUUGAAGUCUUUCUUUUGACGAUGCUUAGCCAGUGAAAUGUUCAAACGCCUCUAUAUCUUCAUUCUUUUUGUUUUUUUUUUUUUCCCUUUUUUUUUUAAAGAUUAAAGAAAUAUGGAUUCACCAAUUGUCUGCCUUGAUAUUGUUUGUGGAAAUGGUGGGUGAUUUCCAUAGAGAUGGAUCUCAAUCAUGAGAAAUUAUUAUCUUAUCCACUUGUGUGUGUAUUUGUGUGUAUAUAUAGUUUAUGUAUAUACUUUUCAUAUUUUGAAUAAUGUUAUAUGAAUAUAUUUUUUAGUA
RNA transcript from Mangifera indica (mango), 3026 nucleotides. It is a transcript of the gene named CBL-interacting serine/threonine-protein kinase 3-like, with no coding region annotated. NCBI's taxonomy places the organism in Eukaryota, Viridiplantae, Streptophyta, Magnoliopsida, Sapindales, Anacardiaceae. The transcript has 16 exons. The record is from RefSeq and is a predicted model, not a curated record.